Non-coding RNA from Hordeum vulgare subsp. vulgare (domesticated barley), 124 nucleotides. The record is from Rfam. NCBI's taxonomy places the organism in Eukaryota, Viridiplantae, Streptophyta, Magnoliopsida, Poales, Poaceae.
AUACUACUCCCUCCGUCCGGAAAUACCUGUCCUAAAAAUGAAUGUAUAUAGAAUUAUUUUAGUUAUAGAUACAUCUAUUAUAUCCAUUUUUAGGACAAGUAUUUCCGAACGGAGGGAGUACUUA